AUAUUUUUUAUGUAUUGUAAAUAGCAUAUUAAAAACUCUGUUCUUAUCAGCUUAAUAUCUGAUACGGGUUCUAUAUGGACCCACGAUAUUAAACCUAUUUUUGGAUGUUGGCGGAGUGCUUGAAGCCUGCUUCAGCUCCGCCGCAGGUCGGCCCGGUAUUGCACUACCUCCGGGAUUGGGCUCCGCUCA
RNAcentral lists this small nuclear RNA (189 nucleotides) under Dermacentor andersoni. RNAcentral describes it as "U2 spliceosomal RNA". It matches the Rfam family "U2 spliceosomal RNA". From Rfam's summary of the family: U2 is a small nuclear RNA (snRNA) component of the spliceosome (involved in pre-mRNA splicing). The record is from RNAcentral. Lineage: Eukaryota; Metazoa; Arthropoda; Arachnida; Ixodida; Ixodidae.